RNAcentral lists this ribosomal RNA (229 nucleotides) under uncultured bacterium. RNAcentral's name for it is "partial 16S ribosomal RNA". It matches the Rfam family "Bacterial small subunit ribosomal RNA", at positions 568 to 796 of the family's 1533-position model. The record is from RNAcentral.
UACGUAGGCGGAAAAUUAAGUCAGUAGUGAAAUCCUGCAGCUUAACUGUAGAACUGUUAUUGAUACUGGUUUUCUUGAAUAUAGUUGAGGUAGGCGGAAUGUGUAAUGUAGCGGUGAAAUGCUUAGAUAUUACACAGAACACCGAUUACGAAGGCAGCUUACUAAGCUAUGAUUGACGCUGAGGUACGAAAGCGUGGGGAGCGAACAGGAUUAGAUACCCUGGUAGUCC